GAAACGUUAGCUCAAUGGAAGAGCCCUGACCAUCCAAGUCAGAUGUUACGGGUUCGAGUCCCGUACGUUUCG
Molecule: transfer RNA, 72 nt
Filed under: Chryseobacterium polytrichastri
Lineage: Bacteria; Pseudomonadati; Bacteroidota; Flavobacteriia; Flavobacteriales; Weeksellaceae
Also listed under: 3 other names
Description: tRNA_Gly_TCC
Rfam family: tRNA
About the family: Transfer RNA (tRNA) molecules are approximately 80 nucleotides in length. Their secondary structure includes four short double-helical elements and three loops (D, anti-codon, and T loops).
Source: RNAcentral